Equus quagga is the source of this 3424-nucleotide RNA transcript. RefSeq lists it as uncharacterized. The record is from RefSeq and is a predicted model, not a curated record. The transcript has 3 exons. Lineage: Eukaryota; Metazoa; Chordata; Mammalia; Perissodactyla; Equidae.
GUCAUUUGGUCCCUCUUCCACCAGCCUGACCGUUCUCUGGACUCCCCCACGCCUCCAUCACGGCCUGACACUUAGUCAGUCCAAUAAGGAUGACGGUUAUUAUAAUAUCUUUAUUAUAAGUAUCAUAAAUAAGGAGGACGAGGUCCUCUGUCCCCCGCCCACCACCAUGAACCAGCUUGACUGGAACCUGCACCUCCUAUUUCUUUAGCCAUCCUCAGUGGGUUCUCUGACAGACUGGCAGAGGCCUCGAGGGAGCCCGAGGGUCAGAGGACUCCAGUACCUCUGGAAAGAAGGGUGCUGAGGGACCAGGGUGAGCCACCCUUCCAAGCAGCUGGAAGAAAGGAAAAUCCCUGGCCAGGAACGAGAUAAAAUAUUGAUGGUUCCUUUCAAGAGAUGGGAAAAAGGCCACAUGUGGGAGAGAGAGAGCCCUCUUUCGAGGUCAGGACUAAGUAAGAGAGGGGGCCAUGAGGUUCAGUGCAAAGAUGCCUGGGGUGCUGGCUUUGCUGGGUGACCUCGAGCAAGUGACCUCCCUUCUCUGGGCUUCAGUUUCUCCACAAAUAAAACGAUUAUACUAAUCCCAGCCAAGGACCCUGAAAGGCGAGGAGCAGGUCACAGCCAAAGCAGGUGUCAACUCUAACCUUAACUCCACUGGUUUCAAUCUGGCACCAAAACUCAACCACAGAGUUCAGACCUUGAGCCCAAGGUCUGGCUGGGACACCACCCAGGGCCAGGCUGCUCCUGCACCCCCAACCUGGACACACCUCAGAGCUUCCCGCUGUGCCCUGUGGCCACCACUGUCCUCAGGGGCUGCCAGUCCAGCCUGGGGUGGGGCCUACCCCCAGCUCCUCCUCCUCCCAGGGCCAGAGUCCGUGAGGCACCCCGACAAGGCCCCUGGGCUGGGGAUUUGGAGCCUCUCAGAGGCUCUGUGCCGGGGCCAGUGACUCCACUUCCCUGAGCCCUGCUUCCUUUAUCGCUCAAAUGGGUCUGACAAGAAUCCCUGCGCUGUCACCUCACCUCACAGGAGCAAAGGAGACAACAGAAGCAAAAGCACUGUGGAAAACGUAAAGUGACAAAAGCAGCACUGAACUCUUUCUCUGGGCCAGGAAAACACUAUUUCAUUCACACACAAAAAUCAGAGACGGAAACUACUGUUAUUUACAAUUUACACAUGAGGAAACCGAGACAAUGACAAGGGACAGAAGGACAGGCGGGGACCAGACCCAGAUCAUGCUGGGUCCUGAAGGCUCAGGACAGCUCUCUGGGGGCCCGCAGGGGCAGGGGGCUCUCUUCUCCUUUCCUCUGCAGGUGGAGACAGGCUCUGAGCCUCCAAACUUGUUCCACCACUAACUGUCAUGUCGAAGGUCCACAUGACAGAAAUGGGCGCGGGGGACAAGGAAACCACCAAUCAGGUGACAGGAGGAAGCAUUAUUACCAAUAACCUUCUCAAGACCCCUGCCAGGUUAGAAUUUCUCUCCCCAUUUUGCAGAUGAGGAAACUGAGGAUCAGAAAGGGUAAGUGACUUGUCCAAGAUCAAAGCAGGCGGGAGAAACUCCUCUCCAACAUCCAAGCGGGCUGCCUCUCCCCCUUCCCCAGCUUCACAGGAGCUUCCAAGCUUCCCUCCCUUGCCCAGGGCCCCCUCCCUCCCUCAUCCCAGGAGAAAACUGCAGGGUUCCCCCCCUGGAACAGACCAUCAUUCUCCGAAGUCCUGGGCAAAUCCCACAAAUAUUUAAAAGGGCUAUUUUGGAAGCCAACAAGGGAGGGAAAUGGUGCAUCCCUGGCCUGGCCCAGGCCUAAUGGGUCUCUGACCCCACCCCCACCCGCAGGCACCAGCCCAAGCUCCCAGUGCCAGCCGUGGUUCAGGAGGCGGCCACAGCUGGAACAGCAGAGCCAGGCAAGAGGAGGGGCAGGGCGGGCUCUCUGGCCCAGACACGCUGGCACUCCCGGCCGAGGGAACUCGGGCUCCCCUGGCGGAGCCCUGGAAGGCGAAGAAGGAAGGGGGGGUGGGGUGCUUUUCUGGUGGGUGAGAGGCCAGGUCAGAGGUGGUGGGCAGGGGGUGGGGACGGUGCAGGAGCUCUGACUCCACGUCCCCCAGGAAGGUGUGUGUGACCCCAGGCAAGCCACUUGGUUUCCCCUCGUGAAAAAGGAGGGACUCGGGCUGGGUUUCUCAGGCCUCAGGGGAAGGUGCCAGGUGACUGAUUCCCUGAGAGUAACUCGAGAAGGGGAGAGGAGGGGGGCCGGGUGAGGCUCCUCCCAGCCUCCCAGACGCCCCUGCCACUCGCCUGGGCGCCCGGGGACUUCGGAAGCCCAAGAGGAAAAAUGCGAGAGAAAACAGGUUUCAAAAACAGCCGAGACGCCAGCCUCGCCACCUGGACCCGGCCAGAGUUAGAGACGCAGGGAUCUAGAUGGCCCGAUGUGCGGUACUUCCUGAGACCCCAGGCUCAGCCUCGCCCCCAACUUCAAGAGCGUGAGGGUCCGAGAGCCCCCGCCCCCCGCCGCGAAGACCUGUUCUAGGAUUUGUAGACAGCCCUGCUGGAAGCAGCUGAGCAUGCCUCAAGGAUCAAGGCUGGAAGCAUCAUUCACCCCAGGCUUCCCUGGAGCCGUUGACCAGUGCCUGGCACAGAGGAGGUGCCCAGUACGCAUCAGGGACUUAAGUUCUGUCCGCCAGUUCUCUGAGUGUGCCCAGCAAGCGGGUGACCCUCUGCAGUUGGAGAAGCAACAGCAACUGUGGAGGCUGGAGGAGGUGGCCCUGAGGGCCCCCACCAGCCCAGACUGCCCUCCUGGAGAGGACCAGCAGCUGUCUCCUCCUCAGUCUGGGCAUCCACAGAGGGAGGUCUCUGGCUAUGGAGCUGCUGAGCUAAUUAAGAAUGACAAAGCACCAUGUAAUUGCCAGCACUUGGUGAGUCCCCUGCCUCUUCCUGCCCCUCCUUCCCUUGCCCUGCUUGGCACUGCCUGGCCUGGAAGUCCUCCGCACAAACAGAGCCCGGUGGAGUGGCAACACUGAGCACAGGCUGGUGUCAAGCAGACCUGGAGACUGGCUGCCUCUGCCGCCCCCUUGCAGCGAGACCCUGAGCAAGGAAGUUCCCCUCUUACGUCAGCUCCAUUUCCUCGUCUGCAGGGCUCUUGACCUUGUGUUAAGAGGAGGGACAAGGCUAAGGGGCCGACGGGGCUGCACUUGCCGGAUGGUUGAAUGCAACAAGGCACACAGCCCCAGGUCUGAACCCCAGCCCUGCCACUCACCAGCUGUGUGAUCUUGGGCAGGCCACUUACCUUCUCUGAGCAACAGAGUCCUCAUCUCCAAAAUGGGAUUUGUCUAAGAGCACUUAGCUCUUACGAGGAGAAUAUGCGUUUGUCCUAGAUCUGUGCCUGCGACAGAGAACCCUGGACAAGUUCCUCUCUAUCAAAGUGGAUGCAGAAAUUAAGGGUU